GACGAACGCUGGCGGCGUGCUUAACACAUGCAAGUCGAGCGGUAAGGCUCCUUCGGGAGUACACGAGCGGCGAACGGGUGAGUAACACGUGAGUAACCUGCCCCAUUCAUCGGAAUAACCAGUGGAAACGCUGGCUAAUGCCGAAUACGACCACCGAAGGCAUCUUCUGGUGGUGGAAAGCUCCGGCGGAGUGGGAUGGACUCGCGGCCUAUCAGCUUGUUGGUGAGGUAACGGCUCACCAAGGCGACGACGGGUAGCCGGCCUGAGAGGGUGACCGGCCACACUGGGACUGAGGCACGGCCCAGACUCCUACGGGAGGCAGCAGUGGGGAAUAUUGGACAAUGGGCGAAAGCCUGAUCCAGCAACGCCGCGUGAGGGAUGACGGCCUUCGGGUUGUAAACCUCUUUCAGCAGGGACGAAGCGAAAGUGACGGUACCUGCAGAAGAAGGACCGGCCAACUACGUG
RNAcentral lists this ribosomal RNA (465 nucleotides) under uncultured bacterium. RNAcentral describes it as "partial 16S ribosomal RNA". It matches the Rfam family "Bacterial small subunit ribosomal RNA", at positions 28 to 507 of the family's 1533-position model. The record is from RNAcentral.